This 221-nucleotide long non-coding RNA is filed under the name Elaeis guineensis (African oil palm). RNAcentral's name for it is "long non-coding RNA (EGUI_LNC050124)". The record is from RNAcentral. Lineage: Eukaryota; Viridiplantae; Streptophyta; Magnoliopsida; Arecales; Arecaceae.
UGGGGUGUUUUGAGUGAGUUAAGCAUCGUAUAGCAGCCAUAAGAGAUGAGUGAUUCCAUCUAACUGUGGUGUUUUUAUUGUCUUUUGUUAUGAAAAAAAUUUAUUUUGAAAAGAAAAUUAGUCUCUUAUUGUUUUACAGCUUAUGUGUAUAUAUGUAAGCAUGGAAACAUGACAUGAUUUUAUUGACAGGUUACUUAUGAAUAAAUAUGUAUAUGUGGAAC